CUAAUUAAGCAUCACACCAAUAGGAGCAGCUGCACUGGUGGAUGUUCUCCGGGGGACAAUAGCCACCUCCAUGAUCGUAAUUGUUGCUACAGAAUUUGUUGCACCGCUCCGGUGAGCAUUCGGCCCUCGAGAACAUGUCUUUCCUGCAUGUCUUCUUCUUCUUCUCUCCCUCUUGUCCUGAUUUCCAUUAAAUUUAAAUUAUAAGUCUUAAGUGACAGUAAAUCCAACGAUGAAAACCCAUUAUCUAACUAUAACAUUAAGUAAAAUCACAGUAUACGAUCGAGAUAAAAAGAUAAUGGUUAUUUAUCUACGAUCAAUUAUACUUGUUCGAUCGACCAUUAUCGAUAUACAUGCAAUGUUACAAAAAUAAAAUAUUUUGAUUCGAUCAAUAGGAGGGACAGGCAAAAAACAAAAUAUCAAUUAGUGAGUUGGAAUAAUUAAUAUAAAAUUAUAAAAGAAUAUCGAAGAAAAAAUGAUAAGGUCAAUUCAUAGUAGACAUAUUUUUCGUAGAUAAUAUAAAAUUAUCUAUAAAAUAAAUCUCAAGUUAUAAAAAAAUCACAACCGUCAGGGUUUACCCGUUAUUAGAUUACAAUAAUCGAUGUCUCAACAUAAAAACAUUAUAAUGAUGACAAAAAAUAUUUGAUAAUAUAAAUGUUUAAAAAAUGAAUAAAAAAUUAUUAAAGAUAACAUAACUGUCAUAUAAAAUAUAAAAAAAAAAAGUGUGUCGAUAUAUUAUCAUAGCAUGAAAUUUCACGUUAAUAUAAUAUGUAACAACAAUAAGUAACAUAAAUAUAUCAAAACGGAAAACAAAUGACAAAAAUAUAAAAAUUAGUAUUGUGAAUUCUUCGUCUUGUAGAGAUUUGAUCAUAUAAUCGUAGAGAAACGAUAAAUGAUCAAACAAGAUAUAAAGAACAUCAUAAUAUAUAUAUGUGACGAAGUUGAAGAUGAUAAGAGGAACGAGGAGAAGAGAACCUUCGGUGAUAUGAAGAAGGAGGAGAGCGAUGAACAAGAACACCCAAAUCGACUUCAUUUCCUUUUCCUCGGAUCGACAAUUUAGAGAGAUCCUAAUUCUUUUUGGUGCUCACAACAAUCUAUCAUGGAAAUUUAUAGAGAUCCAUACUCGAGCCUUAGCGUUUAUUUCCUUAUAAACGUAACAAUUAAAUAGCACAUUGAUGAGAAGAUAUUAUUACUUCAUUGUUUCCCAUAACAAAGUAAAGGAAUAUGGAAGGUUUUAUAUAUCGACAAAUUCAUAUAUCAAACAUUCUUAUUAUUUUUAUAUAUCAACAAAGAUAUUUGUUUUAUUAUAUUUGUUUUAUUAUAUUUGUUAUAUUCAUUGUGUUAUGUCAAAUACUAAUCCAAGACACAAUUUGGAGAUAUUAUUCCAUGUUUAUCUACCCAAUCGAUUACAUCCCAUACAAAGAAACUCCAAUGAAAUUAAAAUACCAAAAAAAAGAGUCACAUAUCCCAAGUCGUUGCCUCUCUCUCUCUCUCUUGUCAAGAUAUAAAUCAAGUCAAUUUGAUUGCAUAAAAAUAAUUUUGACAUUAACAAUGUUUAAUAACAGGGUAGCUUAAGUUUCAUUAUUAAUACACUACACUCCAACAUGAACCCUAAUUAAGCAUCACACCAAUAGAAGCAGCUGCAUUCAUUGAUGUUCUCCGGAGGACAAUAGCCAACUCCAUGAUCGUAACUUUGUGCAUACGUCGCUCGAGAACGUGUCUUUCCUGCAUGUCUUAUUCUUCUCUCCCUUCUCUUGUCCUGACUUCCAUUAAAUUAAAUUAUAAAUCAUAAUAAAUAUUUUUUUUUCUUAUUUUUAAUAAUUUAAAUUAAAAAUAAAUCUUAUGUGAUAGCAAAUCCAACAAUGUAAAUUAUUUAUCUACGAUUAAUUAUAGUGCACCAUUAUCAAUAUAAUUGAAUGUCGAGAAAACAAAUAACAAAUUAUAUUUCAAUCAUCAAUGUGUCUCAAUAGAAAUACACUAUAAUGAUGACACAUUAAAUACACCUCCAUGCAUUCAUAUUUGCUUUCUUGUUUGACAAAAAUAAAAAUAAAAACUAUAUUUUGAAGUAAAUAUUAAUUUCAUGGUAAAAAUUAAAAUUUACUCUUGAGACCAAAUUAUGAUAGUCGAAAUUUAUACAAGACUAAGCAUAUCAAAUAUUAAAAUUAUUUAAUUAUAUAAAUAUUUAAAAGAUAAAUAAAUAAUAUUUUCCUCGUCCCAAAAAUAUAAAUAUUAUAAUAUAAAAUUAUAAUAUUUUUCAUCAUGAUCAUAAGCGCAAUAAAAAAAUGAAUGAUGGGAGAACAAGAUAUAGAUAGAGAACACCAUAAUAUACAUGUGAUGAAGUACAAGAUGGUAAAGGAAUGGGGAGAAGAGAACCUUCGCUGUUGUGAAAAAAGAUGAGAGCGAUGAACAAGAAUGCCCAAAUCGACUUCAUCUUCUAUUCGUGCUCACGACAAAUCGGAUCGAGAAUUUAGAGAGUUCCCAAUUCUUUUUGGUGCUCA
RNAcentral lists this long non-coding RNA (2495 nucleotides) under Musa acuminata (dwarf banana). RNAcentral's name for it is "long non-coding RNA (MACU_LNC004197)". The record is from RNAcentral. Lineage: Eukaryota; Viridiplantae; Streptophyta; Magnoliopsida; Zingiberales; Musaceae.